RNAcentral lists this ribosomal RNA (492 nucleotides) under uncultured bacterium. RNAcentral's name for it is "partial 16S ribosomal RNA". It matches the Rfam family "Bacterial small subunit ribosomal RNA", at positions 29 to 507 of the family's 1533-position model. The record is from RNAcentral.
AGUGAACGCUGGCGGUAGGCCUAACACAUGCAAGUCGAACGGCAGCACAGUAAGAGCUUGCUCUUACGGGUGGCGAGUGGCGGACGGGUGAGGAAUACAUCGGAAUCUACUUUUUCGGGGGGGAUAACGUAGGGAAACUUACGCUAAUACCGCAUACGACCUACGGGUGAAAGCAGGGGAUCUUCGGACCUUGCGCGAUUGAAUGAGCCGAUGUCGGAUUAGCUAGUUGGCGGGGUAAAGGCCCACCAAGGCGACGAUCCGUAGCUGGUCUGAGAGGAUGAUCAGCCACACUGGAACUGGGACACGGUCCAGACUCCUACGGGAGGCCGCAGUGGGGAAUAUUGGACAAUGGGCGCAAGCCUGAUCCAGCCAUACCGCGUGGGUGAAGAAGGCCUUCGGGUUGUAAAGCCCUUUUGUUGGGAAAGAAAAGCAGCAGGUUAAUACCCCGCUGUUCUGACGGUACCCAAAGAAUAAGCACCGGCUAACUUCGUG